GUUGACCUCGGAUCAGGUAGGACUACCCGCUGAACUUAAGCAUAUCAAUAAGCGGAGGAAAAGAAACCAACAGGGAUUGCCUCAGUAACGGCGAGUGAAGCGGCAACAGCUCAGAUUUGGAAUCUGGCCCCCAGGGCCCGAGUUGUAAUCUGGAGAGGAUGCUUCUGGCGCGGUGCCUUCCGAGUUCCCUGGAACGGGACGCCGGAGAGGGUGAGAGCCCCGUACGGUAGGACACCUAGCCGAUGUGAAGCUCCUUCGACGAGUCGAGUAGUUUGGGAAUGCUGCUCAAAAUGGGAGGUAAAUUUCUUCUAAAGCUAAAUACCGGCCAGAGACCGAUAGCGCACAAGUAGAGUGAUCGAAAGAUGAAAAGCACUUUGAAAAGAGGGUCAAACAGUACGUGAAAUUGUUGAAAGGGAAGCGCCCGUGGCCAGACUUGUGCCCCGCGGACCAUCCGGCGCGCUCAGCGCCGGUGCACUCUGUGGGGCGCAGGCCAGCAUCGGUUCUUUUAGGGGGAUAAAGGCGGCGGGAACGUGGCUCCUACGGGAGUGUUAUAGCCCGUCGUGCCAUGCCCCUGGGGGGACCGAGGACCGCGCUUCGGCAAGGAUGCUGGCGUAAUGGCCACCGGCGACCCGUCUUGAAACACGGACCAAG
This 651-nucleotide ribosomal RNA is filed under the name Leptographium sp. HYL-2009b. RNAcentral describes it as "eukaryotic LSU rRNA". It matches the Rfam family "Eukaryotic large subunit ribosomal RNA", at positions 1 to 670 of the family's 3401-position model. Lineage: Eukaryota; Fungi; Ascomycota; Sordariomycetes; Ophiostomatales; Ophiostomataceae. The record is from RNAcentral.